UGUUCGUGAAGGACUGUCGUCAAACGCUAGGGUGGUUAUUACUGGACUCGCAUCUACUAUUGGGUGUGUUGGUGUCGUCAUCUUUACUUUGUUUGGUGUUUUAGCUUACUGCAAAAUCAUCAAGGAUCGUGACAUAUACCAAGAAUUAAGGUACAGAAGGAGAACAAUGAUAUUUGGUGAAGAAGCUGGGAACAUUAACAACGACGGAAAUGAGGUCGAACUUUUCGCUUACUUCAAUCGAGGCGACAUGCAACGUUACAAUACUUUGACAACACAAGACGUGGUGCAUAAUAGUGAGGAUGUGUCUGCAUAUCCUUUCCUAGUAGAGAGAAGGCCAUUUCGCUCAACACGAGAGACGGAAUCUGGUUAUGUGGACAUGAGGGACAUUUUUGAGACCUGCCAAAGGGCUAACUGUGAUAAGUCGUUCGAAGACAUGAACACAUCUGCUUCGACGGAUCCCGACUAGUUUGAUUCACGUUGUACCCGGAAAAUUGUUGUCGAAUCUGCGGACAUGGGAUAUCUACAUACUGUUACAGAGAAAAGAUAACUCAAUUGCGACAUACAAUGUGUAUAUGUGAACCAAUAUGCUGGUGCUGGAGAUUAAGAGAUGAACGCCACAUAAUAACACCGACGCCAAUCCACGUUAACCAAACAUUUCAGUUUCAAAUACUUGUAGAACAAUAGACAAUAGCGGCCCACUCUCGAGUCCGUUUCCUGAGAAAAACCAGUACCUGUGUCUUUUCAACAAACUGUCCACGACCUUUUGGGAAAGGAGCGAAAACCAUUCAUUACCGUUACUUAUGAAAGAAUGACAUUCAAAUCAAUAUUUUUCUUCUUUUUAGUCAUUUCCUGUCUUUGUUCUUAGCUCAAUAUCUCUCGUAUUAUAAAAUAACUUAAUGAUAUCUAAAAUACCUUAUUGUCAUUCGUUUUGUGCAGCACCAAUACACUUAUAUCAAAACACGUUUUCUUUUUAUUAAGUUUGGCUAUGAGUAAUGAAGGAUAUUCACUUAAGAUAAGAAAUGACAAAAUAUGUUUUAUGAAUACUGAAAAAGCAGUACAAAUAAACGUAAUGGUAUCCUUGGCUCUUCAUGACAACAUUUUGUACAAAGCUGUCCUUGUUUAACAACCUCAGAGACAAACGAUAAUUUUAAUCACUCAAAGUAUUUGAGUAUUCACGGAAAUGAGCUCAAUACUUAAGAGCUGCAUAUUCGAAAUGACAAAAUUUACGCUAUAACUGAAUUCAAAAAGUUUAUGUAUAAUGUAUUUAUUUGUACAUGCUAAUAUCUGAAGUUGUAUUGUCUGAAAAUGCAUGGACGUAUGAUGAUGUUUUAUUUACCUGUUGUAAAAGAUGUAAAUUAUUAUACGUAGACUUGUAGGUCAAAGGUGCCAGAUGGUAUUUUUAAUACGUAGCACUAUAUUUAAUUCAAUGUUAAAAACAAAUGAACCUACUUACUUACUAACUUAUUAUAUCAUGUGUA
Molecule: long non-coding RNA, 1478 nt
Organism: Mya arenaria
Lineage: Eukaryota; Metazoa; Mollusca; Bivalvia; Myida; Myidae
Exons: 3
Source: RefSeq, a predicted model, not a curated record